ACUUUAUUUUUCCUUCUCUUAAAAUUUUGUUAUUUAUAUCUGUUCAGAUCAAUUAUCGUCGAUUCGUGCGUUACAAUGCAGUAAAUAAUCUUGUAAAAGCUUUUUUAUAUCACGCAACGAUAUUUUACAAGCUCGAUGACAUCGAGUCAUCUAUUCACAGUAAAAAAUGUUCGCAGGCGUGCGCAUACGCUCAAUUCGGUCAGACUUUUUUGCGCGAUUUUUUCGAGUUUCGAGAAGCGCAGAAACGUAUGCGCACUUUCCAAGCACAUAGGUGCGCGCGCGCCAGUCGUUGACGAGUUGUCGAUGCAGCGUGGUAACAGUUACCGAAUAUGGUGUAUACCGGUUUUUUUUCGUUUUCACCGCGUUCCAAUGGCUUCAAUCCACAAGCCUGAUGCACUGGAAUCGUAGUACUCUCGGUACCGUUGUAAUCGUUAUAAGUAACGAAAACAAGCGACUCGUUUCGUGGUCGCUGCCAGGUACGGUAGCGUUUCAUACUUUUUUGCCAUUCUUCCGGAGAAUGCUGUAACGCGCGUGCCACUGUCCCUCUUCAAUGUCCAUUGGUUCUGGGUCGAGUUUUCGCAUCGUCUGUCUUUCUUCCUAGCAAACUGCCCCGCCGAAAUGUUUCUCCGAUAGAUCUUAUUAUUCGAGUACGUUUAUCCUUCCACUUUUUAUCCAGAAUGAAAAAUGUGUAAAAGUGGACAAGUUUUUUUCAUCGUAACAACGAUAAUUUCUUAAAAAAAUUAUUUUGUGUCUGGAAUUUCUACUAAUUUCAUGACCAGGGAUGAAAAAUAAGAUAAUACGAUCGUUUUCGAAAUAUUCGAUUCGAUAUUAUGAUAAAAUGUGGAAAUUUUGAACAAAUGUGCGAUGGAAAAUUAAUUAUACAGGAUAGGAAAUUAACGUGCGAUUAGUAUGUUGAUAAGCGAGGUAAAUUGAGCGUGACGCUAGCACAUGCGCAUGCGUAGUCGCUUGCACGCCACGCGACCGCCACGCUCGGUAUCUUAAAAUUUUAUCUCACUUCCUCCUACUUUCGUUCUCACCAAUUUCUUCUGUCCCCCUUCCUCUCUCUAUCAAGAAAUACCGAUUAGUAUCUCCCCGGUUCAUCUCCACCCUCUCUUGGGAACAACGUUUCUUCUCCCCUUCCUUUGUUUCCUUUUACAUUUUCUCAGCCCUCUUUCUUCUUCUACUUCUAUUUCUCAAUCUUCUUUCUCUUCUUCCUCCUUCUCUUCUCCUUCUGUUCUCUCGGGCGCCGUCAGAUUUACUCGCCUUCUCGAGUUGCUUCUUUCAACUCUCAAACGCUUGUAGUACUUACUCCAGGCAACGUACUCACGCUGCGUGGCUGCAUUUUAUUCAUGUUCUCCUCUUGUGUUGUUCUCCGCCAGUGAUGGCCUACAACCAUAUUACAGUGACGAUAAAUGAAUAAAAUCAAUGUCGUUACUAUUGGGAAGACGUACGCAAAUUUCACGAAGUGAAACAAUAGAAAACAAAGUCGAAUAGGAUAAAAAAUUGCAUUGAAAUCGCAUCGAGAUGAUGACCAGAGCGAGUUUGAUACGUUUCGAGGGCGAUCGGUGGCCAUCGCUAGAGCGACGACGGGAGCGGGACCGGCAGCAACUUCUCGGGUUCCCACCGAACCCGGGUUCUUCGUCUCUGUCUGACCCGCCGCGUGGCCGAUCCUUUUCUCCGGCGAUGAGCCGGUGUAUCGUGAAACGCGCUCCCGAGGCGGCUGCCUUUUAUUUUCUCGGCGUGCGUGCACCCUCCGUUCAGCGACUGAAACACUGUUGCCUCGUGAAAAUAAACGAGCUGGAGGUGGAAUCGGCACUAACAGAACCUACAGGGGAAAGAAAAUAGACCAACGCAUAUACAUACGUAACUCAUUUCGCGCAACGCCCUCUUCGCGUACUACAAACUAACCUCAAACCAAAAACGAUUUGAACUUUCUUUAAAUAUAAUUCUCUUAUUGAGAAAUGAGAGACGAAAAAAUAAAGGAAAAGAAGUACAAUUGAUUUCGCCGAUACAUUUGAGAAGUAGUUUUUACGAACAGCGGAUCGAUAUUUAUCAAUCGACUGACAAUUUCGAUCGAUGAUCACGGGAUUACCUGUUCUUCUUUACGUAGUGAAAUAUGUAAGUAAACUUAUAACGUGUAUUAAAAGUGCACUUUCCAAAUUGUUUAUGGCCGUACACGUGAAGAUUCAUUAAUCCUUUCUACGCAAUUCUUGUACUUUCAGCUCUUGUACUCUUUCAAAAAAGUAUUUUUUUUGAAAAAACUUUUUACACUCGUACAGAAUAAUUUUUAUUUCAAAUAAAAAGAACAAGUAAAAAGAAGAAAUAAUCACUCUUAUUGGAUUCGAAUAUUUGUGCGAGACCAUUAUAUGUACUAUAUUUAAAGGAAACAUUUUUUUCAUAUCGUUGAAAUUUUACUUAAUUUUACGUCUGCGAUGCCAUGACGCUUAUUGUAAAUCAUUCUGCUUUCUUUUUUCCUCAAUUGUACCUCUGUGUCUGCAGUCAUUUCUACGAAAGAACGCGUGUGGUGCAUGAUUCCUGGAACGGUAACUUUCCAACCUCUUAUUAACUCGACGCCAUUAAUCCCAUUACCUCGAUUCAAUUAGGCCGAUUUUACUACAUAGAAUUAAAAUGAGUAUCGUUAAA
RNAcentral lists this long non-coding RNA (2643 nucleotides) under Apis dorsata (giant honeybee). RNAcentral's name for it is "uncharacterized LOC102678965". The record is from RNAcentral. Lineage: Eukaryota; Metazoa; Arthropoda; Insecta; Hymenoptera; Apidae.